CCACAUUAUUGGAUAUCUAUCUAUCUAUCUAUCUAUCUAUCUAUCUAUCUAUCUAUCUAUCUAUCUAUCUAGACAGAUAGAUAGACAGACAGAUAGACAGACAGAUAGACAGACAGAUAGACAGAUAGACAGACAG
Non-coding RNA from Pelobates cultripes (western spadefoot toad), 136 nucleotides. The record is from the annotation of a GenBank genome assembly. NCBI's taxonomy places the organism in Eukaryota, Metazoa, Chordata, Amphibia, Anura, Pelobatidae.